RNAcentral lists this long non-coding RNA (239 nucleotides) under Elaeis guineensis (African oil palm). Its description in RNAcentral is "long non-coding RNA (EGUI_LNC027788)". Lineage: Eukaryota; Viridiplantae; Streptophyta; Magnoliopsida; Arecales; Arecaceae. The record is from RNAcentral.
GCCAGCAAAUAGAAUAACCGCAACAGACCAAUCACCAAUUCCAAAAUUGAAGGAUCAUCACCUGGCUUUCUGAUCAAAGACUCGUGAGAGAGAGAAAGAGAGACAGAGAGGAUUGGUGGAAGGGGUGAGGAAUUGAGACUGCUGGUAUACAGAUAUGCCCGUUUAUAAAAGAGAAAGAAAAAUCCUAUAAUCUAUUCGUGUUUUGGUCUCACUAACUCUGAAAUGAGAAAGAGUGGCAG